Molecule: microRNA precursor, 105 nt
Filed under: Marmota monax (woodchuck)
Lineage: Eukaryota; Metazoa; Chordata; Mammalia; Rodentia; Sciuridae
Source: RNAcentral
UGCAUGUGUGUGUGUGUGUGUGUGUGUGUGUACAUAAGAUUAUCCAAUAGAAAUAUAUGUGUGUAUAUAUGUAUACACACACACACACACACACAUAAAUGCACU